Molecule: transfer RNA, 72 nt
Filed under: Apaloderma vittatum (bar-tailed trogon)
Lineage: Eukaryota; Metazoa; Chordata; Aves; Trogoniformes; Trogonidae
Rfam family: tRNA
About the family: Transfer RNA (tRNA) molecules are approximately 80 nucleotides in length.
Source: Rfam by way of RNAcentral
GGCCAGUUAGCUCAGUCAGUUGAGCAUAGCACUAACAAUGCUAAGGUCAUGGGUUCGAUUCCCGUUUGGUCC